UACGUAGGGUGCGAGCGUUAAUCGGAUUUACUGGGCGUAAAGAGCGCGCAGGCGGCUGGUCAAGUCCGAUGUGAAAUCUCCCGGCUUAACUGGGAAACUGCAUCGGAAACUGAUCGGCUUGAAGGUGGGAGAGGGUAGUGGAAUUCCCGGUGUAGUGGUGAAAUGCGUAGAUAUCGGGAGGAACACCAGUGGCGAAGGCGACUACCUGGCCCAUUCUUGACGCUGAGGCGCGAAAGCUAGGGGAGCGAACGGG
RNAcentral lists this ribosomal RNA (253 nucleotides) under uncultured bacterium. Its description in RNAcentral is "partial 16S ribosomal RNA". It matches the Rfam family "Bacterial small subunit ribosomal RNA", at positions 524 to 776 of the family's 1533-position model. The record is from RNAcentral.